GUGAGUCUAUCAAAGACAAUCUCUCUACCCUACAAAGGUGCGGUUAAGGUCUGCAUACAUCUUUAUUUCUAUUUUGUAUAAGAAGAAAACUGCUUGUUAUCUAAACUAGUACUAGUAGAGUUAAAUAAUCUUUGAAUAAACAAGCUCUGUUGUCCCAAGAGUAAGUUGGCCAAAGAGCCAAGACAAGCUUAUGUUUCAUUAGUUGAG
This 207-nucleotide unclassified non-coding RNA is filed under the name Hevea brasiliensis (rubber tree). The record is from RNAcentral. Lineage: Eukaryota; Viridiplantae; Streptophyta; Magnoliopsida; Malpighiales; Euphorbiaceae.